This 468-nucleotide ribosomal RNA is filed under the name uncultured bacterium. RNAcentral's name for it is "partial 16S ribosomal RNA". It matches the Rfam family "Bacterial small subunit ribosomal RNA", at positions 28 to 507 of the family's 1533-position model. The record is from RNAcentral.
GACGAACGCUGGCGGCGUGCUUAACACAUGCAAGUCGAACGGAAAGGCCCUGCUUUUGUGGGGUGCUCGAGUGGCGAACGGGUGAGUAACACGUGAGUAACCUGCCCUUGACUUUGGGAUAACUCCAUGAAACUGGGGCUAAUACCGGAUAUGAGCUCCUGCUGCAUGGUCGGGGUUGGAAAGUUUCGGCGGUUGGGGAUGGACUCGCGGCUUAUCAGCUUGUUGGUGGGGUAGUGGCUUACCAAGGCUUUGACGGGUAGCCGGCCUGAGAGGGUGACCGGCCACAUUGGGACUGAGAUACGGCCCAGACUCCUACGGGAGGCAGCAGUGGGGAAUAUUGCACAAUGGGCGGAAGCCUGAUGCAGCAACGCCGCGUGCGGGAUGACGGCCUUCGGGUUGUAAACCGCUUUCGCCUGUGACGAAGCGUGAGUGACGGUAAUGGGUAAAGAAGCACCGGCUAACUACGUG